Molecule: long non-coding RNA, 533 nt
Filed under: Lynx canadensis (Canada lynx)
Lineage: Eukaryota; Metazoa; Chordata; Mammalia; Carnivora; Felidae
Description: lncRNA (ENSLCNG00005021437.1)
Source: RNAcentral
UUUCUCCUCCUGUCCUCCGAUUUUCGCGCUUGACCCAACUGUGAGGUUUCUUUGUUGCAAUGUUGGGGUCUGAGAUAACACUUCUGGAGGCUGCAGCCGGGAACCACAGCUGAUGCCAUCUUUUCUUGUCUGUUGUUAAUGACCUAGCAUUAUAAGCUAAGGAGGAAAAGUAACAAAGAGCUUGAAGACUUUCAUGGCUCCCAGGCCCUGGACAGAGGCCGGCGGUCUCAGACAGACAGAACCAAGGAGGGGCCUGUGACGGCACAGCCCAGAAACUUCACAGGACUUCAGAGGCCGGGAGUCUGAAAGCCAGCGCUCAGCAGCACAAGAAGAUUCAAAACUUGCCUUGGAAAAGAUUGAGAAGAGCCAGUAGACUUGGCUUCCUUACUUCUGCUCAUCCCCAUCAGCAGAGAGAAAUAAUGACUCCCGAAACAGUUCACAAUCAAAAGUUAAAACGAUGUUUCAGUGAUGCUACAUCAUGCCAGGUAAUGAUCACCCAACUUGAUUGUACCUUGACCAUUCUUAAUUAUUGA